UUUGUUGUUCACUUUGGCUGAUCAGACGUCAACUCGACAUUAAGUUUUCUGUUAUGUAUUGAAGUCGUUCUGAUCUGCUGGCCACCGUAGUGAUUAGGAAUUGCACUAUUCUAGUUUUGUUAUAUGCCGGCCACCGUAGUUAGGAAGUUCGAGGUUGUUCCUGACUGUAAUGACACACGUUCGGAAAAUAGAUGCAUUCUGGGAAGUGAUGUGUUUCAAUGUAGGCUACUCGUGUUUCCUUCACUCAGACAUGUGUGCUGAUUCUUUUCCAAUUUUGAGCAAGGAUAUAAAAUAUGAAGACUGUACUUUUUCAUUAAGAUUGAUAUUUUUGCACAAUGUGUUGUGCUACGCGUAACGCGUCAUUGUAUGCGACGGUCUAAGGAGCAGUCCUAUGCGUCCACCCACCAUGCGUCCACCUGUCCACCACUAUUAUUUUUCUUUCAGAAACAAGUUGCAAGGUCAGAUGUGUUGUCCUCCUACCCCCAACUUCCGGUCCUAGUCCCAGUAGGCCCUUGUUGGUCUACCUGUGAGAGUACCUGAGCUACAUCUCUGAAGGUGAGCACUCGUACAGAGACACUAUUGAGUGCUAGUACGCAGAGGCACGGAUGCACAGAAGGUUAACCCAAGCAUAGAUGAGUACAGAAUCCACCCGACCAUGUUUUUGUAGGCUUUCACCACAACAGGCCUUAUG
Molecule: long non-coding RNA, 691 nt
Organism: Sardina pilchardus (European sardine)
Lineage: Eukaryota; Metazoa; Chordata; Actinopteri; Clupeiformes; Clupeidae
Exons: 3
Source: RefSeq, a predicted model, not a curated record